RNAcentral lists this ribosomal RNA (1422 nucleotides) under metagenome. RNAcentral describes it as "bacterial LSU rRNA". It matches the Rfam family "Bacterial large subunit ribosomal RNA", at positions 1480 to 2925 of the family's 2925-position model. The record is from RNAcentral.
AAAAAGCACGAGCCGGGAAUGGAAAGACCGGUACAAGCGAGGUAGGUGUACAAUAGGCAAAUCCGUUGUAUGAUCCGAAGACGUGAUGUGGAGCGAAAUAAAGUAGUGAAGCGUGUGAGCCAUGUGCCGAGAAAAGCUGCUAUUGUGUAAUGCGUGCCCGUACCGUAAACCGACACAGGUGGAUGAGGAGAGAAUCCUAAGGCCGACGGAAGAAGCAUUGUUAAGGAAUUCGGCAAAAUGACCCCGUAACUUCGGGAGAAGGGGUGCCUGCGAGAGCAGGCCGCAGAGAAUAGGCUCAAGCAACUGUUUAGCAAAAACACAGGUCUAUGCGAAACCGAAAGGUGAAGUAUAUGGGCUGACGCCUGCCCGGUGCUGGAAGGUUAAGAGGAGAGGUUAGCGUAGGCGAAGCUUUGAAUUUAAGCCCCAGUAAACGGCGGCCGUAACUAUAACGGUCCUAAGGUAGCGAAAUUCCUUGUCGGGUAAGUUCCGACCCGCACGAAAGGCGUAAUGAUUUGAGCACUGUCUCGACAAUGCAUCCGGUGAAAUUGAAGUACCAGUGAAGAUGCUGGUUACCCGCGCCAGGACGGAAAGACCCCAUGGAGCUUUACUCCAGUUUGAUACUGGGAUUCGGUACUGCAUGUACAGGAUAGGUGGGAGACGAAGAAGGAUGGACGCCAGUCUGUCCGGAGUCGCUGUUGGGAUACCACCCCUGUAGUACUGGGUUUCUAACCAGUUGCCAUGAUCUGGUAAUGGGACAAUGUCAGGCGGGGAGUUUGACUGGGGCGGUCGCCUCCGAAAGGGUAUCGGAGGCGCUCAAAGGUUCCCUCAGAAUGGUUGGAAACCAUUUGAAGAGUGCAAAGGCAGAAGGGAGCUUGACUGCGACACCGACGGGUGGAGCAGGUACGAAAGUAGGACUUAGUGAUCCGGUGGUAUAAAGUGGGAUUGCCAUCGCUCAACGGAUAAAAGCUACCCUGGGAUAACAGGCUUAUCACUCCCAAGAGUUCACAUCGACGGAGUGGUUUGGCACCUCGAUGUCGGCUCAUCGCAUCCUGGGGCUGUAGCAGGUCCCAAGGGUUGGGCUGUUCGCCCAUUAAAGCGGUACGCGAGCUGGGUUCAGAACGUCGUGAGACAGUUCGGUCCCUAUCCGGCGCGGGCGGAGGAUAUUUGAGAGGAGCUGUCCUUAGUACGAGAGGACCGGGAUGGACGGACCACUGGUGUAUCUGUUGUCGACCAACGGCAUGGCAGAGUAGCCAAGUCUGGAAGGGAUAAACGCUGAAGGCAUCUAAGCGUGAAGCCCCCCUCAAGAUGAGAUAUCCCUCCUAUAAGGAGUAAGACCCCUUGAAGACUACAAGGUAGAUAGGGCAGAGGUGGAAGCAUGGCAACAUGUGGAGCUGACUGUUACUAAUAGGUCGAGGGCUUAGU